GACCUCUGGCAAUGGGCAAAGAGACAUCUUGGUGGUGUUCUUCUGUCAGUCAGGGGCAGAGCAGAUGGCAGUCCUUUGCUCAUUUUAGCUUGAUACUUUGCUUGGUGGCCAAAGCUGUUUUACGCCUAGGACUCAUAA
This is a small nucleolar RNA of Grammomys surdaster, 138 nucleotides long. RefSeq annotates it as small nucleolar RNA SNORA48. The transcript has a single exon. The record is from RefSeq and is a predicted model, not a curated record. Lineage: Eukaryota; Metazoa; Chordata; Mammalia; Rodentia; Muridae.